Long non-coding RNA from Gallus gallus (chicken), 12020 nucleotides. RefSeq lists it as uncharacterized. The transcript is spliced from 4 exons. The record is from RefSeq and is a predicted model, not a curated record. Lineage: Eukaryota; Metazoa; Chordata; Aves; Galliformes; Phasianidae.
GAGUUGGAGCGGCGCGGGGCCUGCCGCGGCCGGGGCGGGGCGGCGGGAUGAGGAAGCGGCGGUUGUCCGUCGCCCGAUCCGUUCUGCUGGCGGCAGGGGAAGGCGGGAGACGUGGAGACGGCGGAGUUCAGUACAGCGGCAGCGAUGGCCGCGGCGUUUCCAAACCAGAAACCGAAUUUCUUCUUUUAAAGUUGCUGCUGGGGAAAGUCGUCACGUUGGCUUGACUGCACAAAUGUACGAGGGUUGCUCCGAAAGUAAUGCUUCCUGCUUUCUUACGUUGACCCACGGCGCCAGGGGCAGAUGUUGGUGGUUCGGCGGUAGAGGUCGAACCUUUACACCAGCACCCCGUUACACGCUGUUGCCGUGUGACAGAGGGCAGCAGAAGGGCUCUCUGACAGGAUGGUGCCUGACACAGAGGGGAGUUGGACCAAAUGAUCUUCAAAGGUCCCUUCCAAUUGAAAUGAUUCUGUGCCUUCAGAAUGCUUACAAAAGAGCUGCAAAUGCUUGAGUGCAGUUCACCUGCAGGAUCACACCCCAGGACCUUGGGUUAAUGGCAGCUCAUGCACCAAAUGCAGCUCUCAUACCCGACUCCACACAGCAGAGAAGGCUCUGCUUCUUCUAAUUAAGAAGAGAAUUUUGAAAUAUCUGCUGAAUUCUUGACCUUCAGAAUUCCCUCUGCCAGUGUUCCUCUGAUCUGGGCUCUCAAGGGCUUCCACUGUUCGUGUGAAAAUAGAGCAUCCCCUCAGUCCUGAGGCUCGACCAGAAGAGGUGAAGUUAGCAUCUGUGCUCCCUGAGUGUCCUUGUUGAGUAGGUCCGUGUUCCUUUGGUUCAUCAGCAAGGAGCCACCUGCAUCACAUGGACCUGUUGGUGUGCAUCCAGAGGAGUGCCACAAAAGUGAUCCAUGGGAUGGAACACCUUCCCUACGAGGACAGGCUGAGAAAGCCAGGGCUGCUCAUUCUGGAGAAGAGAAGGCUCCAGGGAAGCCUGAGAGUGGCCCUAAAGAGGGCUGUUAGAAAGAAGAGGACAGACUCUUUAGAAGGGUCCCUUGUGAUAAGACAAGGGAAAAUGGUUUCAAAUUAAAAGGGGAAAAUUGUAUAUAAGGCAGAAGUUUUUUACAAUAAGAGUGGUGAGGCACUGGCACAGGUUGCCCAGAGAAGCGGUGGGUACCCCAUCCCUGGAGACAUCCAAGGUCAGGCUGGAGGAGCUCUGAGCACCCGGAUGUAGCUGUGGGUGUCCCUGUUCAUUGCAGUAAGGUUGGCCUAGAUGGCCUUUAAAAGUCCCUUCCAACUGAAAUAAUUCUAUGAUCACGUGUAGCCCAGCAAAGAGAAAGGUGUUUCCUGCUUGCCCUUUGUCAGUGAAUCCUGGCAGGAUGGAUGUUAUGCUGGGAUGCUGCAGACCUGCAGCUUGGAGGAGACAGAGGUCAGAGGAGAUAGAUGGAGGCUAAGAGCUGCGAGUCAAAACCUUCAAAGCUGAAGUCCCCACUCUGCCUGCUGGAGAACAGAGUCUGUAAAACUGCAGGGAGGGCUGCUCUGCAGGGCUGGGGGCAGGCCCACUGUCCUUCCCCAACUGCUCACAGGGACUGCAUUCCCUUCAUCUCCAUGAGCUGCUUAUAAAUGCCUUAGCGGUGUAUUUCCCUUUAUCUGAGAAGAGGGAAAGAAGCAGUGUUAUUCUGCUCCUUUCCUUUCAGUCCUUUGCAGUUCACACCUGUCUCAUCUACUGUUUUUUUCCUUCCCUUUUGCUGCGGCGUGAGGCUCUGCGGCAUGGUGAUAGGACAGAAGAAAUCUUCCUGAGAAAUGUGAAACAGGGCCACACAAACUGAAUAUUGUGUUCCAGGCCUAAGACAGAGCAGCUGGGGAAGGGACCGUGCUCCAGGCUGCCCUGCAGCCCUGGUCGUCUCAGAUGGCUUCUCAGGGUGUUGGGUGGGGAUGGCCCUUUGUGUAGGCGAUCCCUAGAGGUGUGCUGACUGCACUGGGUGGAUUUCGGCACAGAAAUCUGAAUUGACUUAUUUCUGACCAACCCAAGGGACUUUGUCACCCUUUGAGGAAGGCUGAGAACAUCGGCUGGAGGACUGGUAGGUAGUAGAAGAGCUUCAGGGCACCUAUGGGCCUGGAAGUAAAUACCCAGGGUCACUCCACUUGUUAAUAUUGGUGUGUACUUCAGAGAAUCCACAGCUCUUCAUGAACACACAGCAGCUCUUCAGAGCUCUUUCAACGCCUUUCUGCCUCCUAUGACCAGCAAGGGUGCUGGUGUCUUGUCUUGGAGGAACUGCUGCAGAGAUCCAUUCCCUUUCUGCCUCUUGAUAUUCAUUUUACAUUAGCGUGUGAGUACCCACUCUAUACAAAUCUUUGGGUGGUUCUGCUGAAGAUGUUUCCAUGCUGUGCAGCACCGAAGAUGUUUUACUGCUGCUUCCCACGCUUAUCAAGAACUGAAGCCAAUAGUGAUUGUCUAAUCACUCAUACGCCCUCUCUGUUCUGCAACAGCGUUGUCAGAGUUUUCUAUCUAUGGCAAUUCUUUUGUUUGUUUCAUUUUUCCUGAUGUCUAUGCUGAGUUAGUUUUAGGAACAAAAGUCUGCUUUUAAUCAGUAUCCUAAAAAAUAAGUUUUUCCUGGAAGUAACUCAAGGAAUGGUAUCACUGGCGUCACUAGCUCCUUGAGACAAGCCUUCAGCUGCUGUGAAACACAAAGAUCUGCUGGCUCUCCUGCAGAGUUCCAGGCAUGUAGAUAAUGUAUGUUUUGCUUGUUCCAGGCAGCCCAGCCGCCCUUCAACACGCAAGGGUUCAUGUGUGGAGUGGGCAGUACCAUUCUGAGUGUGAGCUUCAUGUAAAUGCUUUAACAAUAUAUACCCUUUUAUCUGAAAAAAGGUAAAAACAAUCUUAUUCACCUGCUUUUUAUGAAUUUCAUGAAUGCUUUUCCUUCUACCAAUCCAUAUGGGUACAGCCAGCUUGUGAUUUUUCUCUAUAAGGUUUUGCGAGGUACGUCAAGGGAUGCUUCAAGUGAAGUGCUACCUCAAUGAAUAUGCCUUGCAAACCCGCAAAAUGACUUAUUUCACUCUGUUAAACUCACUUAAGCAAAAGCAUUUCCUAUCUAAAAGAAGGGUGUACCCUCUGUAUCUUUCACGCCACAAAUUUAUAAGUGCCUCUUUUUUUUCUUCCUUUUGGUUCACUCUCCUUGUUGCUGAGCCUUCAAAUAUUGUGAUCAGAAUACGGAAAGGUCUAUCGUGUUGCACAUGUAAGAGUGUAAAACUAGAAAUAUUGAUCUGAUUGUUCUUUCAGCUUGUAAGAGUUCAUCUAAUAGCCACAUUGAAGUCCUGCUUUUCUACUGCUUACUGAGUGAAAAACAAUUCUGUUUUGCCCUUCCUAGCCAGGAAGCAUCCUGCUGGCUUUUCACACCAUAGGCUUGCAGAUAGACUUUUUGCACUGAUUUAUUUUUUUCCUUUACCCUUAAUCUUGUGAGGUAGGUUGUAGCUAGUAGGAUGAUACAGAGUCUGAUCAUGUCCGUACUGAAGUCAGUGCACAACGUUGAUGGAUUUCAGUGGUCCUAGAUUAACUCAUUAGUUGUACCUACGUUUGCAGGCAGGCAAGGACUGUGAAGCAUGCCCAGAUUAUACCUGUCCCAGCAUGGACACAGUCUAGUUUGAUUUCCUUCACUGUAAUCCUAGGGGAAAUCACUAGGUAUGGGCUCAACAAAUUCCAGAAAAGCAGUGCACAGCCCAGCAGCUCUCACAGUGUUCUACCACUGACAAAUUGCAGUAGGUGCAAGCGUGAGAUAGAAAUACAAGAAACAAAUGCCCCAAAGAGAUGGGUGGUUCUGGCUAGUUUCAGUUGUCAUUGCUCAUCACCUGAAGGGCACUAAUGUUCCCUCACACCAGCAGUACCCAAUGCCCAUCACUCCUUUUUUGUGUUGCCUCUAGGGAGAUGUGUGCCAUGGCGCUUCUUUAGGAGGAUGUGUUUAUAAAUGUACAUGUGCACUAAGUCAUCGUUCAGCCUCUAAGGGGAGCUGGGACUCUGGAAAAUGCAAGAGGACCAGAAACAUUGGAAUACAAAGGUACUUGCCAUCAGCUAAAUGUGCUGGAAGAGAAAAUGAUCUCAUGGAAAUAUUUCCACACCUCUUUUAUCUUUUUUUUUCCCCCAAAGUUCUGGUACCAAACGUGACCCAUUAAUACUUUUAAUUUUGCCUACUUCCAAUAGAAAUAUUGAUGCAUAGAAAGGCAUAGAGUGACAGCAAACAACUUAUCAGUCUUCUUUCAUGAAGUUCCUCUGCCUCUCAGCUCUUCUAGUUAAAUAUUCUUUACUUGGAAAUGCUCUCCUAGUGUGUCCUUACUGGUUAGUUAUAAUCCUCUCCUGUUGGCUGUGAAGUGUCUCCCACUGAUCAAGUGCAGCAAAGUGCUGCUCCUUUCCCAGGCAAAAAUCUCUGCAGCUCCCCUGGCCUCAGGGUAACGUUGUGCCCCUAUGGAGCUUGGCACCAGGUCCUGCUAAGGUUCCCAUGUCUGCUAUCAAUCAAGGGAAGCCAUGGCUGGGAAGGGACUCUUUCUUUGUUAGUGCUCAGAUUCUCCCUGCAAGCUUAGUAUGAGUGGCUCAAGUCAGGAAAAGACCCAUCUUCAGUUGGGGUGAACUGGUACAAUGGCAUUCAUGAAGGAAACAGAAGGAAAACAAAGCAAAACCACAUGGCUUCUCCAGCUUCCCUGAAUGUGGGUCCAGGUCAGAUGUUACCUUAUCUAUAUGGACUUCCCUAUACCACUUUUCCUUAGUUAAGACAAGGCAUUAUUCAGACAAGCUUAGUCAGAUGCAAGCUGUCUUUCCUAAAAUCACAUUGCAUUUCACCUCCAUUUGUUUCUGCAUCUCAAUUACUAUUUCCUUCAAUACCUAUUUUAAAACUUUGUAUAUGAUGGAGGUCAGACUAAUGAUCUGUACUUUCAAAAUGGUUUCUUUCUCAGCUCAAGAUCUUACCCUAAAUUCGUUAAAGCUCUUUCAGUUAUUGAAGUGCCUGCUCAAUCUCCUCUACUUCUACUUUGUUAACACUGCAGUGUUCAGGGAAGAUUCAAUUCAAGGUGUAACCUUGAAUUGUCUGUAUACACAGGUUCUCUGACUGUUCAACAUCAAAUUACAUUUUCAAAGAAAUUGAACACCAUGCAGGUUAAGUCUCACUCUAUUUUCAGCCUUAAAUCUGUACAGAUUGUGAAAUAGCCUCUGCUCUGCACUGCAGUCAUAUCAAUAGUUAACAGACAUAGGCAAUGUGUUUCAUUUACUUGAGGCUCUCAGAUCAAUAGAAAGUGUGACACUUUUUUUUUUGACUUUCCUAUGCAAAAAUGUCAUCAAUUAUUAAUCAAAGCAUACCAAAUUUCAUUGAAGAUCUGACUUCCUGCAGCAAGAUACAGUAUCCUUAAAUGGUAAAGUGCGUUAAAUACUGCAUGCUGGAAUAGUUUUUAAUUGCGAUGUGGAAUGGAUCUAAUAGGAAAGUGUAAAUGAGAGUAAUAUGAGCUUCAAUAUGGGUACAGAAAGCAUGCAGAACAGCAUGCCAUAGAAAUGAUCCUGAAGGCCCUCAGGGCCCAUAUAAUCAUGAAUGUUGGAAGAGACCACUAAGAUCAUCCAGUCCAACCACCAGCCCAUCUCCACCGUGCCUACUAACCGUGUCCCUCAGUGCCACAUCCACACGGUUCUGGAACACUCCAGGGAUGGUAACUCUACCACCUCCCAUUUCAUCACUUCUAAUGAUUAAUCUGCAGCUGGGAGGCUCAGCAUGGGCAUUCACAUCUGUGCAGAGAGCCAACAGGCCCCAGAUCCACAUCUAUGGCCCAGCCCUGCGUGAGGAAGCAGGGAAUGCCAGAAACCAAAUGUCAAGGCUGGGGCUGUCUUCCAUGCAGUGGUCUCUGGUGAUCUUCAGCCUGGCUCUUAAGGAGAUCCUGAGCACCCCCAGCCUGCUGGAGCUGUGCUGGGCUGUGCCAGGAACAGUGCUGCUGAGGGAGCCAUGAUAGUUGCAGCACUGGACCUGGGCCUUGCUUCAGCUUCCAGCAAACAGCUUCCAGUAUUUAUUUCCCAGCUCUGUUGGCUUUAAAAAAGCUCAGUUUGAGCCAUGGCUGUCAGGAGCAUUAUGUUCAAAUGCGAGAUGAAAUGACUUAAAGACUCAUUUAGAAGGACUGUGAACCCUGUCAGAACUGAUAACCAAGGCCUUGCUUGCCUUAUUAUUUUCCCAUGCUCAAUUUAUUGAAUGUGUGCAGGGAAUGAGUUGAAAACAAAGUGCUGUGUUUGUGUGACAUAUUUAAAUUGUCUAUCAGUAGCCUCAGACACUGCGGUUAGCCAUUAAAUAAAUCACAGUUAACAGGCCAAUUCAGGGUGAUCUAUUUUGGUAUUUACAAUAGUGGCCUAGGAGAGGAAACAGAGGCUUUUUGCAGGGAAAUAAGGACCCAUCCAUCCCAGGGCCCUCCAAGUAAAGUAUCAAAUGCUUCUGAAAAUGGUAUUUUAAAAUAUAGUAUGGAAUGAGUUUCCAGCUUCUCCCAGGAGUGGAAAGCAGGCCAGUUUCUCUGCUUUGCCCUUUCAGUUUUUACAUGAUCUAUGUGUUCAUUUUGAGCUAAAUGGAAGAACAUUGUGUUGGUUGGGUAUUUUUAUUUUAUUUUUAGAAGAUUGUUUUCCUUUAAUAAGAUUGGAAUCCGUGCCUUUGGAACUCACCUGUUGCCAAGCUCAGCAGAUGAAAGUGGACAGCCUUGUCAUUAAUUGCAACAAGGCAAGUAGAGACAGCACUGCACGUGAUGACUUCACAGGCUCUGUGUGUGUGUGUGUGUUUGUGUGUGUGCAUGCAUGUGCUGGUGCUUUCCUUCUUGCUGCAGCAGCUCCUGGAAUCGUGAGGGUGCUGCUGUGUUUUGCACCUGCUUGGAGGCUCCCAGCCUGGGGGCUGCCAGAGCAUCCUUGUGUAAGUGAGGCUUAAUGUAGUGAUGCUGAGGUAGUUUGGGGUUUGGAUCAUGCUCUGCUUCUCAGUCAUGGUGUUUAUUUGCUUGAGAUCUCAUCUAUGUUGAGAAAAGUGAAAGUUCUAUUUUCUUCUAGCUCAUUUUAGGCUCCCUUUUGCAACUUUUAAUGCAGUGCUGUAACAGUUAGCAGGAGAGAGCAUACUGAGGGGGCUGUUUGCACUGAGGUUUACAUUCCUAGUGCAAAAUAUAUACAUAGAAAAUAUGUUUUCGUUACUUAAAGACUUAACUUGCUGACAUCCUUCAGAUUUCACCUCAAUUCACAGUAAUGCCCAAUCUGAAGCAGUGAACCUCCUAUGAUGGCACCAGGCUGAGUGGUGCAGCUGACACAAUAGGAGGAAGGGAUGCCAUUCAGAGGGACCUGGACAGGCUUGUGGAGUGGGUCCAUGAGAACCUAAUGCAGUUCAACAAGGCCAACUGCAAAGCAUUGCGCUUGGGUCAGGGCAAUCCCAGAUAUGAGCACAGAAUGGGAGCAGAACUCAUUGUGAGCAGCACUGCUGAGAAGGACUUGGGGGUCCUGGUGUACAAAAAGCUUGACAUGAGCCAGCAGUGUGCGCUUGUAGCCCAGGAAGCCAACAGUCUCCUGGGCUGCAUCAAAAGAGGGGUGGCAGCAAGGCGAGGGAGGUGAUUGUCCCUGUCUGCUCUGCCCUUGUGAGGCCCCAUCUGGAGUACUGUGCCCAGGCCUGGGGCCCCAAGCACAGGAAGAAACAGGAAGCAGAGAUAUGGCUCAUGCAGGUGGGCAGCUGUGCUCAUCCCCAUUCCCAGGCAGGGAAGCUGAGGCGCAGAGGCCCUUGGGAGGUUUGUCCAAGGCUGGAGAAGCUCUGGAGCAGAAAUGGGAAGAGAAGAAAGCACAUCUUGUGAUUGCACAACCACGGCUCCGUCCCUGGAGGCCAGCAUGUGGCAUCAAGGAAGCUAUUGGACCCUGGCUAAAGCACUGGCAAUUUUCUCUCCUCUCUAGCUGGUGAGUGAAUUUAAACAGACUCAUUCCAGUCAUCCUGGCCAUGGUUUAGUGAUGGGGAUCUGUAGUCAGCUUGAUGGUUGGACCUGAUGAUCUUGAAGGUUGUUUCCAACACAGAGUUAUUCUGUGCUGAUUCUAUGAUGUUCCUCGCUAACCCUAGAAACCACAGUAGUAAAAGGGACAAGAACUGGCCUCUUCUGCCUUUGAGUUUACUAGGAAGCUUUAUCUGUUCCUUUGAAUCACGACCCAGCCUUGUUGCCUGUCAAAGCCAAAGGGGGCUGCGUCAUGAGGGCUGCAGCAUGCCCCACAUGCCCUCUCAUGCCCAAAUACACAGCCAUGGGCCAUGCUUUAAGGCUCUGGGCAGAUAGGAGGAGCAGACUGUAGAUAUGCCAACACCUGCAGAGCAUGCCUGCUGUUUCCUGCUGAACUGGGGCCAUUUGUGGGGCACGGUGGGAGCAGAAGGGAGCUGCAACCCUUCUGUCCUCUCUUGUCACCCUCCUUCUGGGGGGCCUGCAUCCUGUCCCUGUCCAGAGCAGAAUUUGGGGACUGGAGGCAGCAGACAGAGCACAGAGCUGUGGUAAAACAGAGCUCUGUUCUUCCCUCUUUACACAAACAAAAGUCCCAUUGAAAGCGGUCAGACACUGAAUCUAAUGAUUGAAAUAUAUAUAUAUAUGCAUACAUAUAAAAAAUUGGAGUAUUACUGUUUCAGCUCUACUCUCCCUUGAUUUUAAUUUUCUUUGUGGAGUUCAAACAUAGAGUGUUCCUUCAGUGCUUACUUUCAAAGCCUUUUUUUUUUUUUUGGCUAUCACAUCUAAACUCUCUUAGAUUUUUGUCCCAGCUGUGGAAGGCAAGGACAGCGAGGGACAGAAAAGUCAGAUGCUGUCUUACAACACUGGCACCUUUAAAGAUCAUCCUUGAAAUACAGGAGGAAAAAAAAACCUGACAAUAAAUAACACUUUGUUUUUUUUUUAAAGCAAGUUUUCUUCUUGAGUGUGAGGUCUUUCCCCACUUUCAGAGCAUGAACUAAUUAAAGUGCGUGUGUGCAUAAUCCUGCUUUGCCUCUAAACCUGUCAGUACUGUUAUUUCUUUUUUUGCCCUCACUUUUGCUCCUGUUUCAUCUCUGGAGUGGACACUGCUAGGAGAGUAGGUGCCCUUGGAAAGGAGAAAUGCCUGAGCUUAUGCCAGCACCACUGUCCUGGUUUUUCGGCACAAGCAGGUUUGUGACACGUGCCCUGUGCCGCACGCGCCCUGCCUGAGCUGCCGCCAGCUCUCAUGGGUUUCAUUGCCAUUCCUCACUUGUGCUGUGGUUUUGGGGCUCUGCUUUGAGCCCUGAACUCGAUGGCUGAAAAUGUGCACCUUUUUCUUUUCCCCUCUUGGAAGGCAAAGUUUGAUUUCUUUAUUUUUCUCAGAAUAAAUGAGAGAACUGAAGUUAGAAUUCUAGUAGUAGUACUGGAUCCACUGUGUCACGCUUCCACUUUGUUGUCCUUCUUCCUCCGCAGGCCUCCUUGUCAUAGCUCUGCACAGGACAUGUGACAUAAAUAAUGCAGCCUUCACUGGGUCCGGUAGCCCUGAGUGCCAGCUCUGGUAGCAGCAGCUGGGUUUGCUUUCCUAGGUUAGAGUGAACUACAAGCAUCUUUGUCAGGUUUCUCUCAAAUACUGAAACAUAGAAUCAUUAAAGUUGGAAAAGACCACUAAGAUCAUCUAGUCCAGCUGUCUGCCUACCACCAGUAUUGUCCUCUAAACCCUCCGUGCCACAUACACACGGUUCUUGAACACCUCCAGGGAUGGUGACUCCACCACCUCCAUGGGCAGCCUGUGCCACUGCAGCACCACUCUUUCUGAGAGGAAAUUCUUCCAAACAUCCAACCUGAGCCUCCCCUGGUGCAACUUGAGGUUGUUACUUCUCAUCCUAUCUCUGUGACCUAGGAGAAGAGUCCGGCCCCCACCAACUUUCAGGUCAUUAUGGAGAGUGAUAAGGCCUCCAUUGAGCCUCCUCCAGACUGAACAACCCCAGUUUCCUCUCCAGAAGACAUCCAUCAGACAACCUGUGAAAUGUGGAGGUGAUCCAAGGGCUGGCUUUGACACACAGCCUUCCUCAUCCUGGAUAACUGGGAGACUGUCUUCCCAUGGAGGAAGCUACUCCAGAUGAAGCUGAGGAGGAAGAGAAGGAGGGUUUUGCUGGAGCAUCCCAAGCACUUCAGGUGUGUGUACCAGGACCAGAGGUUCCUGGCGUAGCACCUGCCAAGAAAGGGCAUGGGAAGGGAAGGUGGCAGAUGUAAAUGUAUGGUGUUGGUUUAUAGAGUGCGCUGCGUGUUUGUAAAACACCUCAGCAAUACAGCCGGGGAGGGCGAUUAGCUAAUUUCUUCCUCCUUUAUUUUCUCUGCAUGAGGCAUUUAUUUGUGCAGAGUAAUUAGUGGGGAUCUGUGCAGGUGUGUGCCAUCUGGAGUGCACCCAAUUAAGUCAAGAGAAUAAAAAAUGGGCUGGGAGAAGAUGAGCAGGAGAGGAGAGCUGGGAAUAACACCUCAAUGGGGUCCCUGUUCAUCCCAGUGGCUGAAUGUCUCAGAACCUUGGAGAGACCCAGGGAUCCUCAAGCUCGUUUUACAGAGAGGCUCAUUGACUCAAAGAAGUGGGCCCUGAUAGGUGUCCACCAAGCGGACCACAUUUGUGGCUCAGAGCAGCCAUUGCUUGUCCAGCAUCUUGCACAUGCUUGUGCCACCAGAAGUACAAGGUUGUGGCUGGCUAUUGCUGAGGUCUGGAGAGCAGAAGAUGCAAAUCUGUAGAAAAACAGACUCCUUUAAUCCCAUGGCUUUGUAAAUAAGGGUGUGAGGACGAGGAAGAGUAGUCACUGCCAGGAUGCUUGUGAUUCUUAGGACAGUGUCAUUAAAGCUAUGAAAUUAAUAUUCUUAGGUGCACUACAUCUCUGGAUGCUCCUAUUCAGAAAUCACUUUUUUUUUGCUAUCAGGUCUUUGGUUAGAUUGUUAAAGAAUAAUUAGAGGGCCCCAGCCAGAGCUCAGAGAGGCAAACUAUGUGAAUCGGUCUGCACAUAGGUGGGGAAAACUCAGGCAAGUUAAAGAAAGCACCUCUAGAACCCAGAAAGGGAGAGCAUCUGCAUGCUCUGCCUCUAUGUGAAAUGCAUCUCUCCAGCUAGAUUUUUCAGGGGAUUACUCUGAAGAGGCUGUGUUGGCUUUAUUUCCUAAGCGUGUCAGAGAGGCUCUUCUGAGAUUGCUGAUUGUAGUCUCAUUUCCACUCCAUUUUGUGAGAACUGCAGAUUCUCAGCUAUGCCUGUUAUGAAGCCACAUUCUCUCAAGUGCGUUAAAAAAAAAACACACCCAUACAGCCAUGCUUACCCAUCUCCUCUAUGGGGACUUGAAAGAUUUUCUGCAUAUGCUGUAACAAUCUCAGCAUCUCUUGAGCAGCUCAAGUAUUUCUUCUGUUUAAAAAUGUCACAAACCCACUUCCUAAACCAGAGUUCCAGAUGUGUUGUUAGAGGGGGUCGAUGAAAUGUUUAUUUAUUUAGAACAAGUAAGCAUGCCCUCCUUCUGAGAAUGUGGCCCACUGCAUCUACCUAGACUGCAGUGCAGACUGGGGAACCCAUUGGUACCAUUGGUGUCCGCUUGUGCCACAGCUCCUGUGGGCUCUAUAUUAAACUGGGCCCUUCUGGGAGCACUGUUGCACUGCCAUGCAGUUUUAAUACAAUAUGCAGCAAGCUCAUGGUUCCUCUAUUCCUCUGGUCUCUCAUUUGGUGGGUGCCGUGUGCUGGUCUUGCUAUGUGGUACCAUUGUGACCACUGGCAAAGCUCUCAUUGGCUUUGAUAAAUGCCACACUGAGGCUGGUUUCUGCCUUUCUUCCAGGUGCCUUCAUGGUAAAAAGCUGGGAUUUUCAAUUCUCCAGACAUCUUUCUGGAGCUACACAGAAAGAAAUAGUCUUGGGGCUGGCUGACCAUACCAAGUGAGCUAAACUGGGAGUCUUCCUACUGUGCCAAGUGUACAGAGUCCCAUGGUAUAACCGCUGUAAGACAAAAAGCAGGCUAGUGAAGGGCUUGGAAAAUCAGCCCUAUGAGGAGAGGCUGAGGGAGCUGGGGCUGUUUAGUCUGGGGAAGAGGAGGCUGA